RNAcentral lists this ribosomal RNA (800 nucleotides) under uncultured bacterium. RNAcentral describes it as "bacterial SSU rRNA". It matches the Rfam family "Bacterial small subunit ribosomal RNA", at positions 1 to 733 of the family's 1533-position model. The record is from RNAcentral.
GUACUACCAAUUCCCUGUCUUCCCGGGCCUCCCUGUCGGCCGCGGGAAUUCGAUUAGAGUUUGAUCAUGGCUCAGAGAAAGCGGGCGGCAGGCCUAACACAUGCAAGUCGAGCGGCAGAGGGACCUUCGGGAUGCCGGCGAGCGGCGGACGGGUGAGUAAUGCCUAGGAAUCUGCCUGGUAGUGGGGGAUAACCCUCGUGAAACUCGAGCUAAUACCGCAUACGUCCUACGGGAGAAAGSGGGGGAUCUUCGGACCUCGCGCUACCAGAUGAGCCUAGGUCGGAUUAGCUAGUUGGUGAGGUAAAGGCUCACCAAGGCGACGAUCCGUAGUUGGUCUGAGAGGAUGAUCAGCCACACUGGAACUGAGACACGGUCCAGACUCCUACGGGAGGCAGCAGUGGGGAAUAUUGGACAAUGGGCGAAAUUUUUGAUUCUGCCAUGCCGCGUGUGUGAAGAAGGUCUUCGGAUUGUAAAGCACUUUAAGUUGGGAGAAAGGACAGUAAGCUAAUACCUUGCUGUUUUGACGUUACCGACAGAAUAAGCCCCGGUUAACUUUCGUGCCAGCAGCCGCGGUAAUUACGAAAGGUGGCAGCGUUAAUCCGGAAUUUACUGGGCGUAAAGCGCGCGUAUGUGGUUUGGAUAAAUUGGAAUGUGAAAAGCCCCCGGGCUCAACCUGGGAAUUUGCUUCCAAAAUUGUCUGGCUUAAGAAUGGCCAAGGGUGGUGGAAUUUCCUUGGGGUACCGGGGAAAUGGCUUAAUAUUAGGAAGGAACCCCCGGGGGCGAAAGGGGAACCUCCUGGG